GGGUCAGGAGGUUGGUCGUGCCACCGGUACGUACUGGUCUCACUGAUUCCUCCUUCCUGAAGAACCGUAAUGCCAUUAAUUUGGUGUUGCGGGGAAACAGGACUGUUACUUUGAAAAAAUUAGACUGUUUAACGCAAGCUAACGCUUGAAUACAUUAGCAUGGAAUAAUGAAAUAGGACGAUCGAUCCUAUUUUGUUGGUUUCUAGGAUUGACGUA
Molecule: ribosomal RNA, 216 nt
Filed under: Glomeromycotina sp.
Lineage: Eukaryota; Fungi; Glomeromycota
Description: partial small subunit ribosomal RNA
Rfam family: Eukaryotic small subunit ribosomal RNA (bases 40-216)
Source: RNAcentral